Molecule: ribosomal RNA, 540 nt
Filed under: uncultured bacterium
Lineage: Bacteria
Description: bacterial SSU rRNA
Rfam family: Bacterial small subunit ribosomal RNA
Source: RNAcentral
CAAAUAGAACCCGGGUAGUCCACGCCGUAAACGGUGGGUACUAGGUGUGGGUUUCCUUCCUUGGGAUCCGUGCCGUAGCUAACGCAUUAAGUACCCCGCCUGGGGAGUACGGCCGCAAGGCUAAAACUCAAAGAAAUUGGCGGGGGGCCCGCACAAGCGGCGGAGCAUGUGGAUUAAUUCGAUGCAACGCGAAGAACCUUACCUGGGUUUGACAUGCACAGGACGCUGGUAGAGAUAUCAGUUCCCUUGUGGCCUGUGUGCAGGUGGUGCAUGGCUGUCGUCAGCUCGUGUCGUGAGAUGUUGGGUUAAGUCCCGCAACGAGCGCAACCCUUAUCUUAUGUUGCCAGCGCGUAAUGGCGGGGACUCGUGAGAGACUGCCGGGGUCAACUCGGAGGAAGGUGGGGAUGACGUCAAGUCAUCAUGCCCCUUAUGUCCAGGGCUUCACACAUGCUACAAUGGCCGGUACAAAGGGCUGCGAUGCCGUGAGGUGGAGCGAAUCCUUCAAAGCCGGUCUCAGUUCGGAUCGGGGUCUGCUAACCG